GAUGAAGAACGAAGCGAAAUGCGAUACGUAAUGUGAAUUGCAAAUUCAGUGAAUCAUCGAGUCUUUGAACGCACAUUGCGCCCCCUGGUAUUCCGGGGGGCAUGCCUGUCCGAGCGUCAUUGCUGCCCUCAAGCACGGCUUGUGUGUUGGGCCCCGUCCUCCGAUCCCGGGGGACGGGCCCGAAAGGCAGCGGCGGCACCGCGUCCGGUCCUCGAGCGUAUGGGGCUUUGUCACCCGCUCUGUAGGCCCGGCCGGCGCUUGCCGAUCAACCCAAAUUUUUUAUCCAGGUUGACCUCGGAUCAGGUAGGGAUACCCGCUGAACUUAAGCAUAUCAAUAAGCGGAGGA
Molecule: unclassified non-coding RNA, 346 nt
Filed under: soil metagenome
Description: partial contains 5.8S ribosomal RNA, internal transcribed spacer 2, and large subunit ribosomal RNA
Rfam family: 5.8S ribosomal RNA (bases 1-119)
Source: RNAcentral